Molecule: long non-coding RNA, 1373 nt
Filed under: Canis lupus familiaris (dog)
Lineage: Eukaryota; Metazoa; Chordata; Mammalia; Carnivora; Canidae
Description: lncRNA (ENSCAFG00030025002.1)
Source: RNAcentral
UUUUUCAUUUAACAUUAUUUGAUAGAAAUCAUCCUACAUAAUGAUACAAUUCAUAUUAUUUAAAUAACUACAUAUUAUUUUUGUACCUUUCACCUAUGAUUCAUUUGUUAUUUUCUAAUUUUUCACUAUGAAUACUUUUGUAUAAGCCACUUUUUUUUUUCUACUUCUUUUGAACUAUUUCCUUGAGGUAUACAUGCUCAGUAGAGAAAGUCCUGGAUUUCAGUUUCCUAGUUCCUGUUACAUUUUUCCCCUCAUAUUCUCUAGACAGAUUGAGCCCAUCUGUGAUUCUACCAGAAAUAAAAAUUAAGUGCAGAUUUCUUCAUAAUCUUGACGUCAUUCAGUCUUACAAUUAAAAAAGUAUUUUCCCUAGUUUAAAAAAGCUUUCCUUAGUCUCCCAAGUUCCUUUAGUUUGCAGUUAGGUCACUGCUAAGGGAAGGGGGCUUCGGGGACUUUUGAAGCAUCUGGUUAAAUUGUGAUGUUUCACGGAGGUAAGGGAGACCUGCAGCGGACCCGGCUCGCGGGGGCGGCGCUGGGUGCAGGGCCUUCCUGUGGGCUGCAGCCGCCGCCGGCCCCGGGGCUCCCUCUGGAACUGCGCCCACCAGGGGUCAGUGUCCGCUCGGCUUCGGGCUCUGGCUUCCCACAAUGCACCGGGCUCCCUAGUCCCCGCGCUGGGAGGUGACCGAGCUGCGGCCGCGGCGGCUGGAGCCCAGAGGAUCUGCGGGGCGCGGGGCCGCCGGCCGGGGGCGGGGCCUCAGCCGGGGGCGGGGCCUCAGCCGGGGGCGGGGCCUCAGCCGGGGGCGGGGCCAGAAGCCCGGAGCGCAGCUGUCGCGGGCCGCUGUGCCCCUCCCGCGGGCGCCGCCGGGGCUCGGCUCGCACCCUUCCCCACCUCGGAGACCUGUGCACCUGGCGCUGUAGCAAGGAAUUGAACUUUCCCCCUGGACAUAGGCAAGGUUACUGGAAACUGCUUUACCUGCCACUGCAUGGGGAGAGAACACAUGGCCUGUGGUGCAGACCUCUCUGAAAGAGAAACACAAAAGGAGCUUAGGUAGUCAGUGUAUAAUGACCCUGUAUAUGGCCUCAUCCAUUAUGUAAGUAAUUUGUUUCUUCCUUGAGUAAGUAAGGGAAGUGGGCAGAAAGGAUAGAAGCUAUCUUCUUAGUAUAUGGAAAAACACUGUUGCCUAUAUUCUUGAUCAAAGCAAGCAUGGGGAGAUGAGAGGGGCAUGGUUUUGCCUACACUCUUCAAUAGUUUGAUCUUCUAACCCAUGGGUUUUUAUAAUUAGCCUUAUGGCCAACUGCGGAUGGGGCUGCCCUCUUGUUACACAUGUGUUGCAAGUGAUGACAGAUAUAUGGGGGGUUGUAUUCCAGGCAUCAAG